UCAGAGAUACACCGGAAACUGCUGAUCUGUAUCAAACCUUAGGGAUUUUUUUUCGGCUGUUCCUCAGGAAUUUCAGGAAAAAACAAUGAAGAAAAGCCUCUUAAUGCAGCAGUUGUAUCUUUAUGGUGUUCAUAUUAUUCUCUCGUAUGGAUGCGGUCAGAGUGAGUAUCAGUCAGAAGCUGGAGAGUGCUGUCCGAUGUGUGGAUUAGGAAUGGUGGUCCACAUAGAUUGUCAUGGUGAUUACAGUACUGCAUGUAAGCCGUGCUCCACAGGAAGAACAUUCAUGGAUCAACCCAACGGCCUGAAGCAGUGUUUCCCCUGCAAAUCAUGCGACAGCCAAUUGGGUCUGUAUGUGUGGAGCUCGUGUACGGUGAUGAGGAAUACUCAGUGUAAAGUGAUGGAGGGGUAUUAUUGUACAGAGUUCUCGGGAGGUGAAUGCAGCUCUGCACUCAAACACAGACAGUGUGAACCUGGAGAGGCAAUAAAAACACCAGGAAGUGAAAAGUCAGAUACAGUGUGUGAGGCGUGUCCUCCGGGAUUUUACUCUCCACUGGGAAUAAACUGCACCAGAUGGACAGACUGUUCAGUGAGGGAUGAGGUGCAGCAGAGGGCCGGCAGUGCGGUGGAAGAUGUUCAGUGUGUAUCUAAAGCUUCCCGACACAGAUACUGCAUCAUACCGGCUGCAGCUUCAGCACUGGCAGUUUUACUGUACACAGUUUUCUCACCGAAUCAGGCUUACCAGCAAGGGAAUGAUGGUGGUCCGACAGAUGUCGACUAUAAAAAUCCUGUACCAGAAACGGGUCAGGGUACAGUACCGGCAGCAUCAUCCAACUCACCGGAGGAACACACAGACCCUAAAUCAGCUAAUCUCUGAGAACGACGAGCACUACCACCACCAUGCUUUAAAGAUCAGCCUGUUCAGCUCUGCGACUUCAGUUGGGAUUAACAGAUGCAGAACCUGCGUUUCAUACGCUGGGUUGGAUUCUCUACAGCAGGAUUCUUCUUUGUCUCAUGUGUGGAACAGUCUAACAGAGUGAGUGGUACUAUCACCAGAAUGUGAACUUUCUUUUGUGAAGUUUACAUAAGUUUAGUUUUUGGUAGUUGUGUUUUGUAUUUUGGUAAAUUGAUGGUAAAUGUACUUUCACUGAGUUUCAGUAAAUCCGAUACUAAAGCUCUGAUCUGUUUCAGAAAUAUAAAAUAGGAUACAGAAAAUAAUCUUAUUAUCUCAUUUCUGAUUUUACAUUUUACAGUUUUUCUCCAUUGGUUUGGCUCAUUUCUUGAAACUGAGAUGAAAUUCUCAAAAUAACAUGGACAAAUCCCCAAACUAACUUGCAGUUCCUCACAACAGAAUGGCAUUUCUCAUUGCUUUCAUCACAUUUCAAAUCAUUUUGUACAUGUCUCAAGCACUUAGUACAUCUUUGCAAAUGGUUAUGUACAAGUAGCCUACACUUAACACAAUCAUCCUACAUUUAGUACAUUUUCCAAAAGAAUGCAUCUUGUUGAUCUAUCCCAAUUGGUUGGUUCUCAGUGUAAUGGUUGUUCUCUUCAAAACAUGUCAGCACAAUUUCAUCGUAGUCAUCAUCUGCAGAAUAGUCUGCUCAAUUCUCAAAAUGAGUUAAGAAAUUGUAAUACAAUACAGAACACAUAUUCUGGAACAUUUCAUAAAUUCAUGAGAAUCAGGUGAGUAGGUAACAGGUGAAAGCAGGUUUUGAUGAGGAGGAGUGUCCCACAUUACAGGUGAUCAGUCCAUCAGUUUGUUACCUGACAGGUGUUGUCUAUGAUUCUGAAUGCUGGCAUUGCUGUAUAUAUACAGCUUGGCCUGGUGCUAGUAUUUGAUGCUAGUUCUGUGAUGAUAUAACAGACGAUCAGUGUAGAGGAUUGGGUCAGGCAUUCUUCCCAUGGUGCAUUGCUAAAGAACACAUCAGAUGUGAUGUUGAUGAGAAUUUAAACAGACUGCAGUGGAUGGAUGAGCAGGAGAGAGAGGGGGGAGUGACACAGAGUAGUCAGAAUGUUACCGUACUGCAUUUGUGAUGAUUGACUGUUUUUUUACAUACUGUAUUUGUAUUUUGUUUUGUUUUUGCAGGUUUUUGUAAUUUGAAUACAUAGUAUACUUGGUACAUUUUCCUUUGUGUUUUUUUCUUUCCUACCUACAGUAAUGUGUAAAGAUGUACUUGUAAAUAAAAAUAGUUACAGGUUCCUCAGCAGAAUGAGUGCAGUGUGUGUGGCGUGUGAUGAGUGCAGUGUGUGUGGCGUGUGAUGAGUGCAGUGUGUGUGGCGUGUGAUGAGUGCAGUGUGUGUGGUGUGAUGAGUGCAGUGUGUGUGGCGUGUGAUGAGUGCAGUGUGUGUGGCGUGUGAUGAGUGCAGUGUGUGUGGCGUGUGAUGAGUGCAGUGUGUGUGGCGUGUGAUGAGUGCAGUGUGUGUGGCGUGUGAUGAGUGCAGUGUGUGUGGUGUGAAAAUUGUAUUCCUUUAGCUAGACCUCUGCUAUAAAGAUAAAACCUCUAAUCAUUUUGACUUGCAGUACUUACACAAUGCCAAAGGGACAAUGCAUUUUGGGGGCACUGAUGAUUUGUGUGAGAAAGGAAAUCAGUUUUGACACGUGGGUAAACUGUUUUUGGAGUGAUAUGAGCAGUGAUGAGGAUCCAUGUAGUUUUGCUGCACCGUCCAGUUUAUUUUGACAGGAGGACGAAAUGAAUGAAAAUGUGCCAAAGCAAUUGAGAAGGAUCUAUGCCAUUUUUAUGGUACUGACUAUUUAUAUGAGAGAGGGACUUCAUUUUGAAGCAAGAAUGAACGUUUUGGGAGAUAUAUGACAUUUUACUGGUUAUCUGAAGUGUUGUGAAGAACUGUAAGUCUGUUUGACCAAUUUACCUUUUAGUUAUAGGAAUAUCAUCUCAGUUUCAAGAGAUGAGCCAAACCAAAUUAGAUAAACUGUAAUAGAUUCAUUCUUGAAGUGAAUAGAGAAUAAAAUAAGCGAAAAAGAUUUAACAGAAACAGGAAUUCAGUGCAACUUUCAUUUCUCCUUUAUGUUUACAGAACAAACCCGCGGUUUAUCAUUUUUAUUAUGAAGCCUGGGCUGGCUCACAGCACUCCUCCUACCCCAUUGGUCAGUCUGAGUGAUCACAUGCUCCCAGCAGCACUGCUGAGGUAAACCAAUGGGCUCCUUGCACUCACGGCAUUUCCGCUUUCAAAUAAUGCGGCUCGGACGUUUCCGGUUGUAUUGUUUACAUUGGCCUGUAUAGGCAAAACUUAAUAUUUUUACUAGCGAGAGCUCAAAAUGAGUAUCCAGCGUGACGUUUUCGAGCUGUUUUCAGCACUGCUGUGUUCAUACCAGACUACCUGGUUAAACCAAAAAACGUCAGAAGCUUGGAGACGACUGGCAAAGCAUGCAGUGCCACUGCUUUUUAAACUGAAUAAUUAACGUUACAGCACCCAGGCUCCACGUGAUUGGGAGAGGAGAUCAGCUAAACGUACUUGCCUGAAUGAUCCACCAGCUAGCAUUAUUAUUAUUAUUAUUAUUAUUAUUAUUAUUAUUAUUAUUAUUAUU
RNA transcript from Astyanax mexicanus (Mexican tetra), 3541 nucleotides. It is a transcript of the gene named tumor necrosis factor receptor superfamily member 14, with no coding region annotated. Lineage: Eukaryota; Metazoa; Chordata; Actinopteri; Characiformes; Acestrorhamphidae. The transcript has 10 exons. The record is from RefSeq and is a predicted model, not a curated record.